RNAcentral lists this unclassified non-coding RNA (332 nucleotides) under soil metagenome. RNAcentral describes it as "partial contains 5.8S ribosomal RNA, internal transcribed spacer 2, and large subunit ribosomal RNA". The stretch from base 1 to 120 matches the Rfam family "5.8S ribosomal RNA", at positions 35 to 154 of the family's 154-position model. The record is from RNAcentral.
GAUGAAGAACGUAGCGAAAUGCGAUAAGUAAUGUGAAUUGCAGAAUUCAGCGAAUCAUCGAAUCUUUGAACGCACAUUGCGCCCGCUAGUAUUCUGGCGGGCAUGCCUGUUCGAGCGUCAUUUCAACCAUCAAGCCCUGUUUAGGCUUGUGUUGGGGCCCUGCGGUUGCCGCAGCCCCCUAAAUGCAGUGGCGGGCUCGUUGUCACUCCGAGCGCAGUAGCGUAUCUCGCUCUGGGCGUGGCGGCGGGUGCUAGCCGUGAAACACCCACUAAGGUUGACCUCGGAUCAGGUAGGAAUACCCGCUGAACUUAAGCAUAUCAAUAAGCGGAGGA